GACGAUUCCUCGGCCUUGUCCCCUGCCCUUACUUGCCUAUGUUCUACUCGGUACCCUCACCGCAGUCGCCGGCCUUGUUUGAGUUAUGCCUUCUUUGCGCGGCGACAGCCUGGUUAAAUUCAUGUGCAGGAGUCGCCUUCACUUGAAAACAUCCGUCGAGACCUGCACAUUUAGUUUUGGUGGUUUUGACGCUGUGCGAAUGGCUGAGGCCGUCUCUGCGAUGCACUUUCAGCGCGUAGACUGUCGUUUUGUACGUUGGUGGUAACGACGUUUGCAGUGCCAACGCGGACCCUCAAGAUAUAUGCGACAAUAUAGGGAAGUUAGUUCUGCAACUGCAGCACGAUGUGGCCCCCGUGGUGUAUACGUCUUCAAAGUGCUGCCACGUUGCUCCAGCUCUGAAGACGCCGAUGCGGAGCGCCAGAUCAAGAAAACGCGCUUGCUGAACCGCAAGCUGACGGCUACGCUGAAACGCCUGCCGUGUGUUCGAAUCUUGAACGCCGAGCAUGUUGGUCUUCAUUCGAGAGCUGUCUCACCUUUGGAUGUACAGAGGCAUCCACUUCCACCUUGAGCACCGCACCGUGCAGCCAACGCUCCGCGGAGCAUCUCUCGCGGGCGGCUGGGGCACGCAAGCGCAGUGACAACUGUAGGUGGUGCCUUCGCCGCGUCGUCUGCUAAAGCGCAGCGGCUCCGCCCAAUCGCGCUUGCUCUUCGAUGAAGCAUCGGUUUCUCAAUUCCUCGAAAGAGCCACGACGUGCGCCCUUAGCAAUUGAUGGGUACCAUGUGCACAGAGGCCAAGGGAUCGAUCAGCUGGCCAAAAUCGUCAGUUCUCUUGCCCGUGACUUCGGACCUGGAGUGAAGUCACAUGGACACAGCGAGCUGGGUAUCUGCUACAGGCUGCUGAAGUGCAGCCACUGCAACACAAAAGGCCGCGAAGUCCUGCGAGUGCAAGAUU
RNA transcript from Rhipicephalus sanguineus (brown dog tick), 952 nucleotides. RefSeq lists it as uncharacterized. NCBI's taxonomy places the organism in Eukaryota, Metazoa, Arthropoda, Arachnida, Ixodida, Ixodidae. The transcript is spliced from 5 exons. The record is from RefSeq and is a predicted model, not a curated record.